CUUCGGGGGGCUCCAGUGGGGAAUAUUGCACAAUGGGCGCAAGCCUGAUGCAGCCAUGCCGCGUGUAUGAAGAAGGCCUUCGGGUUGUAAAGUACUUUCAGCGGGGAGGAAGGGAGUAAAGUUAAUACCUUUGCUCAUUGACGUUACCCGCAGAAGAAGCACCGGCUAACUCCGUGCCAGCAGCCGCGGUAAUACGGAGGGUGCAAGCGUUAAUCGGAAUUACUGGGCGUAAAGCGCACGCAGGCGGUUUGUUAAGUCAGAUGUGAAAUCCCCGGGCUCAACCUGGGAACUGCAUCUGAUACUGGCAAGCUUGAGUCUCGUAGAGGGGGGUAGAAUUCCAGGUGUAGCGGUGAAAUGCGUAGAGAUCUGGAGGAAUACCGGUGGCGAAGGCGGCCCCCUGGACGAAGACUGACGCUCAGGUGCGAAAGCGUGGGGAGCAAACAGGGUUAGAUACCCUCGUAGUC
RNAcentral lists this ribosomal RNA (464 nucleotides) under uncultured bacterium. Its description in RNAcentral is "partial 16S ribosomal RNA". It matches the Rfam family "Bacterial small subunit ribosomal RNA", at positions 339 to 795 of the family's 1533-position model. The record is from RNAcentral.